This 505-nucleotide ribosomal RNA is filed under the name uncultured bacterium. RNAcentral describes it as "partial 16S ribosomal RNA". It matches the Rfam family "Bacterial small subunit ribosomal RNA", at positions 30 to 523 of the family's 1533-position model. The record is from RNAcentral.
AUUGAACGCUGGCGGCAGGCCUAACACAUGCAAGUCGAACGGUAACAGAAAGCAGCUUGCUGCUUUGCUGACGAGUGGCGGACGGGUGAGUAAUGUCUGGGAAACUGCCUGAUGGAGGGGGAUAACUACUGGAAACGGUAGCUAAUACCGCAUAACGUCGCAAGACCAAAGAGGGGGACCUUCGGGCCUCUUGCCAUCGGAUGUGCCCAGAUGGGAUUAGCUAGUAGGUGGGGUAAAGGCUCACCUAGGCGACGAUCCCUAGCUGGUCUGAGAGGAUGACCAGCCACACUGGAACUGAGACACGGUCCAGACUCCUACGGGAGGCAGCAGUGGGGAAUAUUGCACAAUGGGCGCAAGCCUGAUGCAGCCAUGCCGCGUGUAUGAAGAAGGCCUUCGGGUUGUAAAGUACUUUCAGCGGGGAGGAAGGGAGUAAAGUUAAUACCUUUGCUCAUUGACGUUACCCGCAGAAGAAGCACCGGCUAACUCCGUGCCAGCAGCGCCGUAA